Molecule: long non-coding RNA, 445 nt
Filed under: Hordeum vulgare
Lineage: Eukaryota; Viridiplantae; Streptophyta; Magnoliopsida; Poales; Poaceae
Description: long non-coding RNA (HVUL_LNC002025)
Source: RNAcentral
CGAGUUUCAGUCUUGAAGAGCCACAUAAUGCAUACGAGCAUCAUCAAAGCAAACUUAACAUGCACGAAUGCCAUCAUAAGAAGGUUUAACAUACACAUUCAAUUCAAAUAGAUAUCAUUGAUUACAUCAUUUCAAUUCAAUACAAUACACAUCAUGCAGACGACUAGGAAUCAACAAGGCUGACCUAGCACAAACCAACUGUGAACACAUCCUGCGCUUUUAUUUCUGCUUGAUCAAGCCUUGUACCGGUCAGUCGACCUUCGCCGCGCCACCUGUGCGCAAUUAUGACCACAGGCUGCAAAGUAACAGAGCUUCGCAGCAAUUCAAUUGUAAGCCAGUCAGUUGAAUAUAUAUCAGCACCAACGCGCUCCAGACUAGCACCACGGCCUAGCAUCACGGCUAAGGAUGAGGAUGAAGAUCAGAAUCACAAGACAAACACCNNNNN